RNAcentral lists this transfer RNA (61 nucleotides) under Canis lupus familiaris (dog). Lineage: Eukaryota; Metazoa; Chordata; Mammalia; Carnivora; Canidae. RNAcentral also lists the same sequence under 1 other name. The record is from Rfam by way of RNAcentral.
GCCUGAGUGGCUCAGUGGUUGAGCAUCUGUCUUCUACUCAGGUCAUGAUCCCGCUCAGGUC